CCUACGGGUGGCAGCAGUGGGGAAUAUUGGGCAAUGGGCGCAAGCCUGACCCAGCAACGCCGCGUGAAGGAAGAAGGCUUUCGGGAUGUAAACUUCUUUUAAGAGGGAAGAGCAGAAGACGGUACCUCUUGAAUAAGCCACGGCUAACGACGGGCCAGCAGCCGCGGUAAUACGUCGGUGGCAAGCGUUGUCCGGAGUUACUGGGGGGAAAGGGCGUGUCGCCGGGCUGAGAAGUCAGAGGUGAAAGCCCGUGGCUCAACCCCGGAACUGCCUUUGAAACUGGCGGUCUUGAGUAUCGGAGCGGCAGUCGGAAUUCCUAGUGUAGCGGUGAAAUGCGUAGCUAUUAGGCGGAACACCAGUGGCGCAGGCGGCCUGCUGGACGACAACUGACGGUGAGGCGCGAAAGCGUGGGUAGCAAACAGGAUUAGAUACCCUUGUAGUC
Molecule: ribosomal RNA, 442 nt
Filed under: uncultured bacterium
Lineage: Bacteria
Description: partial 16S ribosomal RNA
Rfam family: Bacterial small subunit ribosomal RNA
Source: RNAcentral